GACACAGGAGGGUGGCUGGGAUAUCUCCUGCAUACCUGGGUUCACAGAAACCUCCCUCUUACCUGCACUGUGCUGCUUCUCCUGCCUUCUUCAGAGACUGCGGCAGGAAGCUGAGGAGGAGGAAAAGGGAGGAAGAAGAUGAGGUUGUCAUCAUUUCAAGAGCCUAUUAAUUGUCCCCUCAUGCUCUCUAAGAAGUGGCCAUUUACCACAGGCCCUGUGAAUGCUUUCUGGAGAGAAAACACCAGGGAGCAUGGCAUGGGAGGAUGAGAGCCUCGAUGGAUUUGAAAGAGAAAAAACCCAGCCCACCGUCAGCAAAGGGAGAAAAUAGACCCAAAGAGAGAGAAGCUGAAAAUGUGCUGAAGCAGCUGAUGACAGCCCAAACAGCAGGAGAAGGCUCCUGCCUGCCAAUUAACGAGGCUCUGGUGCUAAUUUGCCACCUUGACUGCACUUCUGAGCUUGUCAGGAGAAGGGGGAGGAAAAAAAAGAUGAGGCUAAAAAAGAGGUUUUGGCUCAUCUCUUGGCUAUGCAGAUGCCACUGGGCUUCAGAGAGGCAGUGGGAAGCAGGGAGGCUGAUGGCAAACCCCACCACCCACGAGCCUGGAGUGUGAAGAGAACAAUGACAAGUUUGUGGGCUUGUGUUGGCAGAGCAGCUCCGGAGCAGGACACUGCCCAACCAGGGGAAGCUGGUUUCCUGGGGAUCACAUCCCACCAUCUGCUGGGUUAGUCGGGAGAGUGAGUGGUGAUCCCAUGCGUGCCCAGGGGCAUCUCUGGUACCUGUGGUGAAACUGUGUUAUAAGGAAGAAGCUGGAGCAGCCCCGUGCUGGCAUGGAGAGGUCUGCAGGCAAACUGGUAUCGCCUGCCUCCCCCAGAAAUGCUGUCAAACAGCAGAGCAGAUCUGUUGGCAGCUGCCUGGUGGUUCUGUGCACCUAACAGAGCCAGAGGAGCCCUGGGUAAAAUGCUCAGCAUGAAGCCUCCUGCCAAGCCAAACGUGUGAUUCCCACUUCUUGCCCAUCCUGCAGCCCAAACCAAGAGACCACGGUGAUGGAUUUCAAGCAGCAUCUGCACCGACAUGCAGUUUGCACGCAAAGAGAGUGUUACCCUCCUCAGCCCUCCCUCCUCUCCUGUGAUGUUUUAUUCCCUGCACAUUCCAUGUUCUCCCAGGCUGACACAGCAUCAGCUGGGAGCUAUGAGAGGGUAAACUGAGGCAGGCUGGAGCAAGGAUGCAGAUUUAGCCCCACAGCAUCUCUCCAUCCUGGCUCGUCAUGGAAAAACUGUCCUGGCUGUUUCGGCACAGCCUGAUGUGGUGAUGCCCUUGGCACACAGGGCUGGAGGCUCAGCCAGUGCUGCAGAAAAGGGAUGAAAACAGGAAGGGGGAAAAGGGUGUAAGUUAGACAGCUGGAGCUGUGAGCUGUUUGGUUCAGCUGUAGCCCAUCACUGGCAGUCUCAGGGUGGGACACGGAGGUGGGACCAGCCCCCAUCUGGGAGCCCUGAGCUCUUCCUGGGGAGAGCUCUGCAGAUAACCCCCUCCUGCUGCUGGGCCUGGGGGUGAAACAUCCCAGCCUCCUUUUCCCUGGCAGAGCUGCUGAAUAAAUGUGUCUGGAGGGAACUGAGGUGUCUGCAGUCAAGCAAGUGAGGAGCUCCGCUCGUUAUUUAAAGGCAGUUUUCUGGCUUUCAUGCUGCAGAGAAUCUCCUGUGAACACAGAGCCCAGCAGCAAGGCAGAGAAGCCUGGGGUCCAUCCCUCAGUGGACGCCUCAAGAGGCUCCAUGAGAUGCUGCCAAUCAUCCCAACAGCUCUUGCGUUCAUGUUCAGGACUGGGAGGCAAGGGAGGAGAGGUGGGCAAAGGAAGACAGAUGUGUGGAGAAGAGACAUCCAGGUGACAGAUUGAGGGAUGCUACAGCCACAAGAGCCAGGCUGAUGGAUUGAUAGAUUAGACAGGGAAUAUAAAUAGCAAGUGUGGUUUAUCUAUCCCAGUUUUAUUUUCCUCUCACCUAUCUAUUUAUCUCUCCUGGUGUUAUUUUACUCAUGUUUAUCUCUUUAUCUGCCCAGCCCGAGGAUGGAGGAGAGUCGGGUGACAGAAGCAGGAUGGAUGAGUUUGGGUUACCACUGCUUUUGCAGCAUCCAAGCAGGCAAGUC
Long non-coding RNA from Pipra filicauda (Wire-tailed manakin), 2134 nucleotides. RefSeq lists it as uncharacterized. The transcript has 3 exons. The record is from RefSeq and is a predicted model, not a curated record. NCBI's taxonomy places the organism in Eukaryota, Metazoa, Chordata, Aves, Passeriformes, Pipridae.